This 379-nucleotide unclassified non-coding RNA is filed under the name uncultured delta proteobacterium. RNAcentral describes it as "contains 16S-23S intergenic spacer region". Lineage: Bacteria; Deltaproteobacteria. The record is from RNAcentral.
UCUGCCUUAUCGGCAAGCGGUCCCGUUAGAGUGCCCAACUUAAUGCUGGCAACUAACGGCGAGGGUUGCGCUCGUUGCGGGACUUAACCCAACAUCUCACGACACGAGCUGACGACAGCCAUGCAGCACCUGUCUCCACGUCCCCGAAGGGAACUCCUAGUUUCCUAGGAUAGCAUGGGAUGUCAAGCCCAGGAUAAGGUUCUUCGCGUUGCGUCGAAUUAAACCACAUACUCCACCGCUUGUGCGGGCCCCCGUCAAUUUCUUUGAGUUUUAAUCUUGCGACCGUACUCCCCAGGCGGGAUACUUAAUGCGUUAGCUACGGCACCGGAAGGGAAAGUCCCUCCGACACCUAGUAUCCAUCGUUUACGGCGUGGACUAC